AUACUUACCUGGCAGGGGAGAUAUAUUAUAUGAUCAGCGAAGGUGGUUCACAUCGCAGGCGAGGCUCAGCCAUUGCACUUCGGUUGUGCUGCUGACUCGCACCCCCAAAUGUGGAAUUUUACUGCAUAAUUUGUGGUAGUGGGGAUCACACCAGCGCCUCU
Small nuclear RNA from Hippoglossus stenolepis (Pacific halibut), 161 nucleotides. RefSeq annotates it as U1 spliceosomal RNA. The record is from RefSeq and is a predicted model, not a curated record. The transcript has a single exon. NCBI's taxonomy places the organism in Eukaryota, Metazoa, Chordata, Actinopteri, Pleuronectiformes, Pleuronectidae.